This 156-nucleotide ribosomal RNA is filed under the name Nicotiana attenuata. Its description in RNAcentral is "rRNA 5_8S_rRNA". It matches the Rfam family "5.8S ribosomal RNA". Rfam says of the family: 5.8S ribosomal RNA (5.8S rRNA) is a component of the large subunit of the eukaryotic ribosome. It is transcribed by RNA polymerase I as part of the 45S precursor that also contains 18S and 28S rRNA. Lineage: Eukaryota; Viridiplantae; Streptophyta; Magnoliopsida; Solanales; Solanaceae. The record is from RNAcentral.
AACUCUCGGUAGCAGAUAUCUCAGCUCUCGCAUCGAUGAAGAACGUAGCGAAAUGCGAUACAUGGUGUGAAUUGCAGAAUCCCGUGAACCACCGAGUCUUCGAACGCAAGUUGCGCCCGAAGCCAAUAGGCUGAGGGCACGUCCGCCCGCGCACAC